Molecule: ribosomal RNA, 497 nt
Filed under: uncultured bacterium
Lineage: Bacteria
Description: partial 16S ribosomal RNA
Rfam family: Bacterial small subunit ribosomal RNA
Source: RNAcentral
GAUGAACGCUGGCGGCGUGCCUAAUACAUGCAAGUCGAGCGAACAGACGAGGAGCUUGCUCCUCUGACGUUAGCGGCGGACGGGUGAGUAACACGUGGAUAACCUACCUAUAAGACUGGGAUAACUUCGGGAAACCGGAGCUAAUACCGGAUAAUAUAUUGAACCGCAUGGUUCAAUAGUGAAAGACGGUUUUGCUGUCACUUAUAGAUGGAUCCGCGCCGCAUUAGCUAGUUGGUAAGGUAACGGCUUACCAAGGCAACGAUGCGUAGCCGACCUGAGAGGGUGAUCGCCCACACUGGAACGGAGACACGUUCCAAGCUCCUACGGGAGGCAGCAGUAGGGAAUCUUCCGCAAUGGGCGAAAGCCUGACGGAGCAAAGCCGCGUGAGUGAUGAAGGUCUUCGGAUCGUAAAACUCUGUUAUUAGGGAAGAACAAAUGUGUAAGUAACUAUGCACGUCUUGACGGUACCUAAUCAGAAAGCCACGGCUAACUACGUG